Panicum virgatum (switchgrass) is the source of this 1457-nucleotide long non-coding RNA. RefSeq lists it as uncharacterized. NCBI's taxonomy places the organism in Eukaryota, Viridiplantae, Streptophyta, Magnoliopsida, Poales, Poaceae. The record is from RefSeq and is a predicted model, not a curated record. The transcript has 2 exons.
AUGCAAGAACGGGCCAUGAUGGGCCAGCACAAGGUUGCCCCGUCUUUUGCCUUCCCCUUCCUGCGCCCCAUUAAUCCCUCCGCCGGCAUCACUCAUCUCUUCCUCUUCCGAUUCCACCACAUCCCCGCCGACGUCGAGCGAGACCCCUCUCCUUCCACCGCUGCGUGGUGCCAUAGCGCCCCUCCUCUGCGGGUUCGAUGAAGCGCCGGCAGCUCCGCGAUGCGGAGGGCCGGUUCUGCCGCAGUGGUGGCGGCGACUGCGAAGCUGGCGGUAACUCCAAGGUGAGCCGUGCCGGCGAACGGGACGGCUCCUCCGUUGUGAGCCAUAAAGGCAAGCGUCGUGUUACUAAGGAUCCGAAGAAGUGUCGGCGCAAACCCUAGGAAGAUGCGAGGCCGUGACAACGGUAAAUUUUUUUCCUCAUUGUUUUCCCUCGAUUGAAUGGGUGCUGACCUAGAUUACCCAGUAUGGAAGUUUAUAUUAAUGUGAUGAGGUGCUGCUGUCUAUGAAAGCGAUUUUAGUUUGCAAAUCAAUAUGUGAACCUCGUAAUUCAUUGGACAGCUUGUGAGAAGAAUUUUCUACUCCAAUAGGAUAAUAUAUGGAUGAAUUUUCUGUGGAGCAAAUAAGAAUACCAGAAUAUUGGUUUUAGUUGGAACUAUUGGUUUAUCUUCUAAAACUGCAGCUGUUUGCAUCACAUGGAGUUUGCAUUACUUCCAGCUCAUUCAGUCCAAUGUCUGCAGGAAAGGUCAUAAUUACAUCUUUAAGAACUUGAAAUCAUAGUAUAUCAAACUAAUCGUGCAUGUUAUAGAUCUGCACCGAAAAGAAGAAUGUGUGGAUCAAUUUGGACUCAUCCUCAUCUGAUGAGGCAGGUGAAUACAUCGGCAAAAACCUCCACAAGGGAAAGAACCCCCAAACCACAGAACCGGGGACCUCUCAGAAGAAAAAGUUGUGAAAGGAAAAUACAAGAUAUUGGCUGACAGGGUUGAAAACCUAAAAUACUCUGUUGAUGGAUUUCGUGAAGCCGUUGAAGAGCUGCAGUUGAACAUUGAUAUUUUGGAGGCGAAGGUGGACGAAAUGUGUGAGGAAGAGUAUUAUACCCUCGAGCUGCAGAUAAAGGACCUUCGUGAGAAGCUCAAUGCUGGCCCGAAGCAGCUGCCUGGUGCUAAGAAGAAAUGAAGUGCAGUGACAAGCUCAAUGCCGCCCUGAAGCAGCUCCCUGGUGCUAAAGGAGAAAUGAAGUGUAGUUAGGGUGUAGCUAUCUCUAUAUUUAUAAUAACAUGUGGUUAGUUCUGGAAUGUUGUUAGUUGUAAUGACCUGUGGUUAGUUGUGGACAUAUAUACCUAGUUAUGGUGUAUCUAUCUCUAUAUAUGUGUGUAUGGUCAGUUAUCUAUCUCUAUGUAUGAACCGACUCUAGAAUAAUACUAGAAAUUCCAGUGUGCCUUUGGUGCUUCAUUUUUGUAU